Long non-coding RNA from Parus major (Great Tit), 425 nucleotides. RefSeq lists it as uncharacterized. Lineage: Eukaryota; Metazoa; Chordata; Aves; Passeriformes; Paridae. The record is from RefSeq and is a predicted model, not a curated record. The transcript is spliced from 3 exons.
UAUUAGCAACGUGCCUUUUUUAGCAGCUUGGAAUUUAAGACUAAUCCAUCCCCAAAACUGUUUCCUGGUUUCCUUUCAUUCUCAAGAGUAGAACUUCCCUCUAGUGCAGACAAUCAGAAAAUAUUAUGAACCUUCACAGGAACUUGGAAAUAGCUGAUGAUGCUCCCAUAUGAUGGCUCAGAUGCUCACUCUCAGUCUAAACAAAUUAUCUUCUGGGGGAAAAAAGGUCAGUGAAACAAAAAAUAUGUGUUUCAGCAGUCUGAUGAUGAGAAGCUCCCUUCUCCAGUUGAAAUAGAAUGGACUGGAUGACUGAAUUCUCCUAAUUCUGUAAUAUUACAUUGGAAUCUCUUCUCCAUAAUGAAGUGAAGAUAAGGUGGUUUUCCUCAGUGGGCUCAUGGCAUCACCCAAACCCACCAAGCUCAGGU